Molecule: ribosomal RNA, 483 nt
Filed under: uncultured bacterium
Lineage: Bacteria
Description: partial 16S ribosomal RNA
Rfam family: Bacterial small subunit ribosomal RNA
Source: RNAcentral
GACGAACGCUGGCGGCGUGCUUAACACAUGCAAGUCGAACGAUGAAGCUGGAGCUUGCUCCGGUGGAUUAGUGGCGAACGGGUGAGUAACACGUGAGCAAUCUGCCCUUGACUCUGGGAUAACUGCGGGAAUCUGUAGCUAAUACCGGAUACGAGGCUCGAAGGCAUCUUCGGGUCUGGAAAGAAUUUAGGUGAAGGAUGAGCUCGCGGCCUAUCAGCUUGUUGGGGAGGUAAUGGCUCACCAGGGGGACGACGGGUAGCCGGCCUGAGAGGGUGACCGGCCACACUGGGACUGAGACACGGCCCGGACUCCUACGGGAGGCAGCAGUGGGGAAUAUUGCACAAUGGGCGAAAGCCUGAUGCAGCAACGCCGCGUGAGGGAUGAAGACCUUCGGGUUGUAAACCUCUUUUAGCAGGGAAGAAGCGAAAGUGACGGUACCUGCAGAAAAAGCACCGGCUAACUACGUGCCAGCAGCCGCCGUAA